Molecule: transfer RNA, 83 nt
Filed under: bacterium
Lineage: Bacteria
Description: tRNA-Leu
Rfam family: tRNA
About the family: Transfer RNA (tRNA) molecules are approximately 80 nucleotides in length. Their secondary structure includes four short double-helical elements and three loops (D, anti-codon, and T loops).
Source: RNAcentral
GCGGGUGUGGCGGAAUUGGUAGACGCACCAGAUUUAGGUUCUGGCGCCAAAAGCGUGGGGUUCGAGUCCCUCCACCCGCACCA